CACAAUAAAAUAUGAAGGCUGUACGCGGCUGUGCUCUCGGGCCAGUUUUGGGGAGGCUGAAUUAUUUAUUACCCUUGUCUUUUGCGCACUUGUUGUUUCCUGGGCGGGUUCGCCCGCCACCAGGACCACAUCAUAAACCUUUUUUAUGCAGUUGCAAUCAGCGUCAGUAUAACAAAUGUAAAUCAUUUA
RNAcentral lists this unclassified non-coding RNA (189 nucleotides) under soil metagenome. RNAcentral's name for it is "partial internal transcribed spacer 1". The record is from RNAcentral.